AGGGCACAAUCCGACAGGGGAUGGCAGUGGAGAAGGAAGAGGGGAGGCCGAGUGGUAGGACACCGAUUCUGGGAGGCAGCCGACAGCACCACAAAAGAAAGGGGUAGGGGCUCAAGAAGCUUUGAUCCAACAUGGGGACGUCGGAUCCAAGGCAGGAGGCUAGGGGAGGAGGCCGAGGGCUCCAGCGGUGCAGCAGGGGAAAAUGAUGAUCGGAGAAAGAGAGUUGGUGGGGGAGCAAGGAGAGCGAUGGGGGUUUCUGUGAGCCCAUCGAAGAUUCAGAGAGGUUAUUUAGGGCUUAUUAUUAGCAACAACAAUAUUUCAUUGUUAAAACCAUCGCUAAUAAUAAUUUAUUUAUUAGCGACAACUUAGCCAUCGCUCAUAACAAAAUUAUCGUCGCUAAUAACUAUUUAAACUUAUUAUGAUGGAAAUAUUUUUCAUCAUAAUAAG
Molecule: long non-coding RNA, 447 nt
Filed under: Elaeis guineensis (African oil palm)
Lineage: Eukaryota; Viridiplantae; Streptophyta; Magnoliopsida; Arecales; Arecaceae
Description: long non-coding RNA (EGUI_LNC074770)
Source: RNAcentral